UACGAACUGUGCAAACGUUAUUCGGAAUCACUGGGCUUAAAGGGUGCGUAGGCGGCUCGAUAAGUAGGGUGUGAAAUCUCCCGGCCCAACCGGGGAACUGCGCUCUAAACUGUCGGGCUUGAGUGAGAUAGGGGUGUGCGGAACUUCCAGUGGAGCGGUGAAAUGUGUUGAUAUUGGAAGGAACACCGGUGGCGAAAGCGGCACACUGGGUCUCAACUGACGCUCAUGCACGAAAGCCAGGGUAGCGAACGGG
Molecule: ribosomal RNA, 253 nt
Filed under: uncultured bacterium
Lineage: Bacteria
Description: partial 16S ribosomal RNA
Rfam family: Bacterial small subunit ribosomal RNA
Source: RNAcentral